ACUAAUUGGAGAUCAUUCAUUGUUGAUUUAAUCACUAGAAAAACCAUAAGUUAAGGGCUAUAUGCGCUUCACACUACCUUGAGGGUGACAAACGCUAGCCACCAAGUUAUAUCUACUACGGAUUAAUCGGAGUCCGACGAGGCAGCAAGGGCCUGCCAUUGUCAGCAUUGUCUUGGCUCCAACCGAACAGAACAGUUGCCUUUCUCUCUAUCAUAAGCUAAGUCUUAUACUUGCCAUCAUAAAAACUGCUCAACCUUUCUAUGCUUUGAUGGGGGGUCUGGAUUUGACAGCAGAAAUUUAAUCUCUCUUUGAAGAAAUUUAAUCUCUUUUUUUGAAUCAGUUAGGGAUAUAUGAAAAUCAAAGAUGUAUAUGCGAUUAUUCUCUUAUUGCAGUUGCUCUUUCUUUGGAAAAUGCUUAUAUGUGGGCAUAUGAAAUGCGAUUAAUGAUGUUUUUCUCAUGAAUUAAACUAUUCCUUGUCUCAUAAGAAAAUUUCUUUUUGUGAAUGCCUAUUGGUGUGGAGUAAGGGCUCUGUUGAAAUGCGAAAAGAAUUUCAAUGUGUAUUCUGAUAUUGGUCUAAAGAUUGAGGAUAUUUUGAUAUUUGGAUAUUCUUUGGUAUUUUAAUAUCAUUAGCUUAGAUUUAUUGCUGUUUUGAAUUAUGGAAUUGAACAUUACAAUUGUUGGGAUAGGACCGUGGAGAUAUAUGUCUUUAUGUGCAUAAACGAGUUAUUAUGGGGCAUUUAAAUUAACUUCUUAUAAUUUGGUUUUGAUGUUCGUGGGGCCUUAUUUGAAUUUUGGUGAUUGAAUUUGAGUUUAUUGGUUGGUUAUGAUGAUUUACAUCUUGCGAUAGUACUAUGAUUUUGCUUUGGUUUUGGGAUUGAUUUUGUGGGACUAGGACCAUCAAGACUAAUCAAUUACUCUAAUGUUUUAGAGCACAGGAAGUACAUGCGUUACAACACAGGAAGUACAUGAAUUACAAUAAAUUAUUCCAACACCUGAGUCUUAGGAAGCUCGCCUGCUAUUACGGAGUAAUUUCUUAUUUUCAGGGCAUGAAGUUCUUGGGGUAUCAAGCUCGCUGCAGCGCUGAUACAACGUAAGGAGGGAGAGAGUACUUUAUCUGCGCUAAGACAGUGCGCUAAUGCAGAGCAGGGAGGGAGAAGGGUAGUUCAUCAGCUCGCCGAAGCAGCGCACUGAGGGAGAGGGCAGUUCAUCGACUGCGCUGAUGCAGCGCAGGGAGGGAGAAGGGUAGUUCAUCAUCAGCUCGCUGAGUAUUAAGCUCUCAGUGUUCAGUCCUACAUUUAAUAUCUUAUCAAAUGCAUAUUUUCUGUGGGUGGUGAAAUUCACAUCAGUCUAUUACUCUUCGUUUUCGCUGCGAGAAUUUAUAGUGGACGGUGGCGAUAGCCACAAUUGCCAGCGCUGCCAUUCAAUCUCUGGUGUUCUCUGUUGCUACCCUGCGCCGUUCAAGCCGAUGGACAUUCUAAACUUACAACACUCACUAUGCUAAAAUUAUAUCAGGGAAGAAUCUUUCAUUGAGUGCUGGCAUAUAUCUUUAUUCUUGUUUAUAUAUCUAUAGUUUCAAUAUUGCUUGAGAGGGGCUGUAAUCUUGUUUAUACGUCUAUGCUAAGCUAGUUAUUGUCAGUCUAUCAUGAAUAUCGAUCUGUGGGAUUAUGUUUGAUUACGUUGCUUAAAGUCUACUAUUUAGGAUCUGAAUAUGUAGUUUAAAUAUCAACGUUGACAUUCUUUUAAUAGUACCAGCGCAGGAAUUAUAUAUAUACCUAUGUACAGAUUCCUGAGUUUGUGAGCUUGAUAUUGCUAUGGUUUUCUUCUGGUUUCGGGCUUGAUAUUGCUGUGGUUUAGCUCAAAGUUUGGACUGAAUGAUAUGAUUUGGCUUUGAUCUUAGCUCAGCGCUGAAGAGGGCAGCGCAGGCGAGGGCCUUUAAGGGCAGUGCAGGCAUGGCAGUAAAUCCUCGAGGGCAGCGCAAUACCGUAGUCU
Molecule: long non-coding RNA, 1989 nt
Filed under: Salvia miltiorrhiza (redroot sage)
Lineage: Eukaryota; Viridiplantae; Streptophyta; Magnoliopsida; Lamiales; Lamiaceae
Description: long non-coding RNA (SMIL_LNC007864)
Source: RNAcentral